UACGUAGGUGGCAAGCGUUGUCCGGAAUUAUUGGGCGUAAAGCGCGCGCAGGUGGUUUCUUAAGUCUGAUGUGAAAGCCCACGGCUCAACCGUGGAGGGUCAUUGGAAACUGGGGAACUUGAGUGCAGAAGAGGAAAGUGGAAUUCCAAGUGUAGCGGUGAAAUGCGUAGAGAUUUGGAGGAACACCAGUGGCGAAGGCGACUUUCUGGUCUGUAACUAACACUGAGGCGCGAAAGCGUGGGGAGCGAACAGG
This 253-nucleotide ribosomal RNA is filed under the name uncultured bacterium. Its description in RNAcentral is "partial 16S ribosomal RNA". It matches the Rfam family "Bacterial small subunit ribosomal RNA", at positions 524 to 776 of the family's 1533-position model. The record is from RNAcentral.